GUAGGGGUCUAGCGUUGUCCGGAAUUAUUGGGCGUAAAGAGCUCGUAGGCGGUUCGGCAAGUCGGAUGUGAAAUCUCCACGCUUAACGUGGAGGGGCCAUUCGAAACUGCCGUGACUCGAGUCCGGUAGGGGAGUUCGGAAUUCCCGGUGUAGCGGUGAAAUGCGCAGAUAUCGGGAGGAACACCAGUGGCGAAGGCGGAACUCUGGGCCGGAACUGACGCUGAGGAGCGAAAGCGUGGGGAGCGAACAGGAUUAGAUACCCUGGUAGUCCACGCCGUAAACGUUGGGCACUAGGUGUGGGGCUCUAUCGACGGGUUCCGUGCCGUAGCUAACGCAUUAAGCACUCCGCCUGGGGAGUACGGCCGCAAGGCUA
This 373-nucleotide ribosomal RNA is filed under the name uncultured bacterium. RNAcentral describes it as "bacterial SSU rRNA". It matches the Rfam family "Bacterial small subunit ribosomal RNA", at positions 527 to 896 of the family's 1533-position model. The record is from RNAcentral.